This 253-nucleotide ribosomal RNA is filed under the name uncultured bacterium. RNAcentral's name for it is "partial 16S ribosomal RNA". It matches the Rfam family "Bacterial small subunit ribosomal RNA", at positions 524 to 776 of the family's 1533-position model. The record is from RNAcentral.
UACGUAGGCAGCAAGCGUUGUUCGGAGUUACUGGGCGUAAAGAGUGCGUAGGCGGUUUCGUACGUUUGGUGUGAAAUCUCCCGGCUUAACUGGGAGGGUGCGCCGAAAACUGCGGGGCUGGAGUGUGGGAGAGGUAAGCGGAAUUCCUGGUGUAGCGGUGAAAUGCGUAGAUAUCAGGAGGAACACCGGCGGUGUAGACGGCUUACUGGACCAUGACUGACGCUGAGGCACGAAAGCGUGGGGAGCAAACAGG